This 402-nucleotide ribosomal RNA is filed under the name uncultured prokaryote. RNAcentral describes it as "bacterial SSU rRNA". It matches the Rfam family "Bacterial small subunit ribosomal RNA", at positions 355 to 774 of the family's 1533-position model. The record is from RNAcentral.
UGGGGAAUAUUGGACAAUGGGCGCAAGCCUGAUCCAGCCAUGCCGCGUGGAUGAUGAAGGCCCUAGGGUUGUAAAGUCCUUUCGACGGGGAAGAUAAUGACGGUACCCGUAGAAGAAGCCCCGGCUAACUUCGUGCCAGCAGCCGCGGUAAUACGAAGGGGGCUAGCGUUGCUCGGAAUCACUGGGCGUAAAGCGCACGUAGGCGGAUUUCUAAGUCAGGGGUGAAAUCCCGGAGCUCAACUCCGGAACUGCCCUUGAUACUGGAGAUCUCGAGUUCGGGAGAGGUGAGUGGAACUGCGAGUGUAGAGGUGAAAUUCGUAGAUAUUCGCAAGAACACCAGCGGCGCAGGCGGCUCACUAGACAGUUUCUGACGCUAAGAUACGAAAGCGUGGGGAGCAAACA